GAUGAACGCUGGCGGCGUGCCUAAUACAUGCAAGUCGAACGGUAAGGCUCUGCCUUUGUGGGUUGCACGAGUGGCGAACGGGUGAGUAAUACGUGAGUAACCUACCCACGACUUCGGGGUAACUCUCUGAAACCGGGGCUUAUACCCGAUAGGGUCUCCUGAUGCCUUGUGGUGGUUGGUAAGUUUCGGCGGUUGGGGAUGGUCUCGCGGCUUAUCAGCUUGUUGGUGGUGUAGUGGCGUACCAGGCCUAUGACGGGGCGGAGGCCUGAGAGGGGGACCGGGCACAUGGGGACAGAGAUACGGGCCGGAGUACUACGGGAGGCAGCGGUGGGGAGUAUAGCACGAUGGAGCAACGCCUGGUGCGGGAACGCGGCGUGCGGGAUGACAGGCUUUGGGGUAAGAGCAGCUUGGUACUGAGACGAAGCCUGAGUGACGGUAAUGGAUAAGAAAGCACCGGCUAACUACGUG
RNAcentral lists this ribosomal RNA (468 nucleotides) under uncultured bacterium. RNAcentral's name for it is "partial 16S ribosomal RNA". It matches the Rfam family "Bacterial small subunit ribosomal RNA", at positions 28 to 507 of the family's 1533-position model. The record is from RNAcentral.